AAUAAGUACAGUUUUACACUAUUCACGUUCAACGUUUGACCGUUCGUCUUAUUUAAUUUUUUUUAUAAUUAGUAUUUUUAUUGCUAUUAGAUGAUAAAACAUGAAUAGUACUUUAUGUGUGACUAAAUAUUUUCAAUUUUUUCACAAAUUUUUCAAAUAAGACGGACGGUCAAACGUUGAGCACGAAUAUCUACGACUGCACUUAUU
This 207-nucleotide microRNA precursor is filed under the name Oryza rufipogon (brownbeard rice). RNAcentral's name for it is "MIR812 microRNA precursor family". It matches the Rfam family "MIR812 microRNA precursor family". Lineage: Eukaryota; Viridiplantae; Streptophyta; Magnoliopsida; Poales; Poaceae. The record is from Rfam by way of RNAcentral.